GGCGGAGAGCAUGGGUUAAUACAGGCCAGAGGCAGAGAAAAUAGCAGGGGUGAGAGGCCCUGAACUCAGCGUCGUUUAUUCACGCUUCCAUCCAUUCGGCCAAUUCUGAACGCCCUCUCCGUGUCGGUCGCGUGCUAGGUGCUGGGGACAUAUCGGUGAGCAAGAGACACCAGGGCCCUUGUUCCCGCUGACCCUGCAGCCCAGUGGAUGGAGCCUAGAGUUCACAGACCUGCCAGGAAAGAAAAAAAAUUUCCUGAUGGUUGGUCCAAGCAGGGACUCCCUGGUGGAUUGAGGAAUGUCUGGCUUUUCCUCAGCUCAUUGAUCUCUGUGGCAACCACUGGUGACCCCCAAAAGACCCAAGAAUGAAAGGCCCGAGGUCUAUAAAUUGCUGCUAGAAAUAUUUCAGUCUCUCUACAAAAUAGAAUGCAGCCCGCACACACAUCCCUAAGGGCCCUGGGCGCACACUGACCGCGCGCUGGCGGACACGCCCGUUGCUCCCGGCUGGGC
Long non-coding RNA from Tupaia belangeri chinensis (Chinese tree shrew), 507 nucleotides. RefSeq lists it as uncharacterized. NCBI's taxonomy places the organism in Eukaryota, Metazoa, Chordata, Mammalia, Scandentia, Tupaiidae. The transcript has 3 exons. The record is from RefSeq and is a predicted model, not a curated record.